Molecule: unclassified non-coding RNA, 1138 nt
Filed under: Leishmania donovani
Lineage: Eukaryota; Euglenozoa; Kinetoplastea; Trypanosomatida; Trypanosomatidae
Description: gene:unknown
Source: RNAcentral
AAUCAUCACAGUGUCCUCAAACCGCGACCUUUGAACAAGACGAUCUUCGAGAGCAUCGCUCCUAAGCUGGACUGCUGAACGAGGUUUGCCGAGAGGGGCGUUGGUUUCUCAACAGAAUGCAUGCUCGCUGCUGCGUCUCCCACCUCCCUGUAUGUGUGCGUGUUCAUGAGGCAAGGUGAUGAGGGCAUGAUCUGCUCUCUUUUCUUUCUGCGGGCUCUUCACGUACGCGAUCGCCUCUUCUGCUGACAAGCUGUUCUUUCUUUCAAAGAGUCCAUUCUGUCAUUCAACAAUGAGUCGAGCCGUGCGCGAUACGGACUGUCACUGGCCCCAUCGCGUGGUGCAGCGCAGCUGUAGACACGUGGUACAGCAAUGCCGACUCAGCCACCUGAGCACGGCCCCUGGCUCGAACGUUACCCACCCGCUGCGCAGGUCGCCUCGCAGCCGCUCACAGUAUGCCGGCCGCCACGUGCUGCAUCUCCCUCGCGGUGGCACUCAGGCUCCCCACCAGUAGGCUGUGUGUGGGCCGGGUGAGAUGCGUUCGAGUCGCGUCGACACCCUGCUCAUGGUGUGGAUUCGUACAAGCGUGUUCGCUGCCGCAGGUCGCUCCGACGCAGUGCCAUCCAGGAUCUGACUGCCGGCAUCAGUAGCAAUGCAUCGCACUGACUUCGCCACGUCGUAGGUGCUUGACCCCAUCAGCGUCGGAGGUGGCUCGGCAUUGGCAGGGGAUAGGAGUGGCUGCUUGACCUCUCCACACAGAGCGGGUGUACUGGACCCUCAGAUGCCACACUGAGGUGUCCCCCUUCAUGAGGAGCUGAUGAAAAACACAAAAAAGAUGAAGGUGGGGGAGGGGAAAGGCAGAGGAGGCGCGUCGGAGAGGGUGACAUGGACUGAAGUCGCCGUAUGCUCCAGUGCUUUCCUAGAGCCCCCCACUUCCCAAACUUUUCCUUCCUCGUCUCUCCCAGAUUCUCCAAACCUCGCCCGCCCUUCUUCAUGUUUCCCUCUCCCUUCUCCUCUUUCGUGCUCAUUUUUUUUUUCUCCUUGCGCGCGUUUCUCACUCAUCAAUCACCACCACGCGCCACUCUUGCUCUUACGUCUCCACCCCGUCGUCCGACACCACCCUACUCGCUUUGUUUGCCAG